AUACGGAGGGGGCUAGCGUUGUUCGGAAUCACUGGGCGUAAAGCGCUCGUAGGCGGACCAGUCAGUCAGAGGUGAAAUCCCAAGGCUCAACCUUGGAACUGCCUUUGAUACUGCUGGUCUUGAGGUCGAGAGAGGUAAGUGGAAUUCCUAGUGUAGAGGUGAAAUUCGUAGAUAUUAGGAAGAACACCAGUGGCGAAGGCGGCUUACUGGUUCGAUUCUGACGCUGAGGAGCGAAAGCGUGGGGAGCAAACAGGAUUAGAUACCCUAGUAGUCC
Molecule: ribosomal RNA, 274 nt
Filed under: uncultured bacterium
Lineage: Bacteria
Description: partial 16S ribosomal RNA
Rfam family: Bacterial small subunit ribosomal RNA
Source: RNAcentral